UACGGAAGGCAGCAGUGGGGAAUAUUGCACAAUGGGCGCAAGCCUGAUGCAGCCAUGCCGCGUGUAUGAAAAAGGCCUUCGGGUUGUAAAGUACUUUCAGUCGUGAGGAAGGUGUUAAGGUUAAUAACCUUAGCAAUUGACGUUAGCGACAGAAGAAGCACCGGCUAACUCCGUGCCAGCAGCCGCGGUAAUACGGAGGGUGCGAGCGUUAAUCGGAAUUACUGGGCGUAAAGGGCACGCAGGCGGUUAAUUAAGUUGGAUGUGAAAUCCCCGGGCUUAACCUGGGAAUGGCAUUCAAGACUGGUUAGCUAGAGUCUUGUAGAGGGGGUAGAAUUCCAUGUGUAGCGGUGAAAUGCGUAGAGAUGUGGAGGAAUACCGGUGGCGAAGGCGGCCCCCUGGACAAAGGACUGACGCUCAUGUGCGAAAGCGUGGGGAGCAAACAGGGAUUAGAUACC
This 455-nucleotide ribosomal RNA is filed under the name uncultured bacterium. RNAcentral describes it as "bacterial SSU rRNA". It matches the Rfam family "Bacterial small subunit ribosomal RNA", at positions 340 to 786 of the family's 1533-position model. The record is from RNAcentral.